CAGGGGAUAGUUUAAGUAGAACACCAGCUUUGGGUGCUGGUAGUGGGGUUGUUGCUCCUUCCUUGAG
This 67-nucleotide transfer RNA is filed under the name Ailuropoda melanoleuca (giant panda). Its description in RNAcentral is "tRNA-Pro". It matches the Rfam family "tRNA". Rfam says of the family: Transfer RNA (tRNA) molecules are approximately 80 nucleotides in length. Their secondary structure includes four short double-helical elements and three loops (D, anti-codon, and T loops). The record is from RNAcentral. Lineage: Eukaryota; Metazoa; Chordata; Mammalia; Carnivora; Ursidae.